GCGCAGCAGGCGCGAAAACUUCACAAUGUGCGAAAGCACGAUGAGGGAAUCCCAAGUGCUUGCACGUAAGUGUAAGCUGUUUCUCUGUCUAAAACGCAGAGAGAGUAAGGGCUGGGUAAGACGGGUGCCAGCCGCCGCGGUAAUACCUGCAGCUCGAGUGGUGACCGUUAUUAUUGGGCCUAAAACGUCCGUAGCCGGUUUAAUAAAUGCCUGGGUAAAUCGGACCGCUUAACGGUUCGAAUUCCGGGGUAGACUGUUAAACUUGAGACCGGGAGAAGUUAGAGGUACUCCUGGGGUAGAGGUGAAAUUCUGUAAUCCUAGGGGGACCACCAGUGGCGAAGGCGUCUAACUAGAACGGGUCUGACGGUGAGGGACGAAGCCCCU
Molecule: ribosomal RNA, 384 nt
Filed under: uncultured microorganism
Description: bacterial SSU rRNA
Rfam family: Archaeal small subunit ribosomal RNA
Source: RNAcentral